This 70-nucleotide small RNA is filed under the name Mytilus galloprovincialis (Mediterranean mussel). The record is from RNAcentral. Lineage: Eukaryota; Metazoa; Mollusca; Bivalvia; Mytilida; Mytilidae.
UUAUGUAUGUAUGUAUAUAUAUAUAUAUAUAUAUAUAUAUGUUCUUAACAGGAAACACGGAAACUGUGGU